CCUACGGGGGGCAGCAGUGGGGAAUAUUGGACAAUGGGGGCAACCCUGAUCCAGCCAUGCCGCGUGUGUGAAGAAGGCCCUCGGGUUGUAAAGCACUUUCAGUGAGGAAGAACGCCUGGUGGUUAAUACCCAUCAGGAAAGACAUCACUCACAGAAGAAGCACCGGCUAACUCCGUGCCAGCAGCCGCGGUAAUACGGAGGGUGCGAGCGUUAAUCGGAAUUACUGGGCGUAAAGCGCGCGUAGGUGGCUUGAUAAGCCGGUUGUGAAAGCCCCGGGCUCAACCUGGGAACGGCAUCCGGAACUGUCAAGCUAGAGUGCAGGAGAGGAAGGUAGAAUUCCCGGUGUAGCGGUGAAAUGCGUAGAGAUCGGGAGGAAUACCAGUGGCGAAGGCGGCCUUCUGGACUGACACUGACACUGGGGUGCGAAAGCGUGGGUAGCAAACAGGAUUAGAUACCCCAGUAGUC
RNAcentral lists this ribosomal RNA (465 nucleotides) under Vreelandella stevensii. Its description in RNAcentral is "partial 16S ribosomal RNA". It matches the Rfam family "Bacterial small subunit ribosomal RNA", at positions 338 to 795 of the family's 1533-position model. The record is from RNAcentral. Lineage: Bacteria; Pseudomonadati; Pseudomonadota; Gammaproteobacteria; Oceanospirillales; Halomonadaceae.